CCAAUAAAUGAGGGAAGUUUGCUCCGCCUCAACCACCAGUUUGAGUCCUGUUUCCCUGUCUCCUCUGCCGCCCCGGUAUACUUCACCUAACACAACGCAGAGACCUCGCUGGGGCUUGCUACCUGAAAGAUAGGGUUACACAUAGAAGAAGAUGGUGGAUGGCAUGACUCAUGAUCCAUGUUCAAGGCUAGUAGCAUAAGGGGGCCCUGGAAACAACAUCCAGUUUGCCAUGUCUCUUCACUCUGCAAGGAGCACACCGUGGUCGCAUAAAAAGGAUGUACAGUACAUCAUCAUAACACUGCUCUAUGUGCAGAUGAAAAGGCAGCACAGGGAUGAAGAGGAGCGACACAGAGACAUUAUUUCAGUAAAAUAAACCUAAAGGAAG
Long non-coding RNA from Epinephelus lanceolatus (giant grouper), 385 nucleotides. RefSeq lists it as uncharacterized. The record is from RefSeq and is a predicted model, not a curated record. Lineage: Eukaryota; Metazoa; Chordata; Actinopteri; Perciformes; Serranidae.